GACGAACGCUGGCGGCGUGCUUAACACAUGCAAGUCGAACGGAAAGGCCCUGCUUUUGUGGGGUGCUCGAGUGGCGGACGGGUGAGUAACACGUGAGUAACCUGCCCUUGACUUUGGGAUAACUUCAGGAAACUGGGGCUAAUACCGGAUAGGAGCUCCUGCUGCAUGGUGGGGGUUGGAAAGUUUCGGCGGUUGGGGAUGGACUCGCGGCUUAUCAGCUUGUUGGUGGGGUAGUGGCUUACCAAGGCUUUGACGGGUAGCCGGCCUGAGAGGGUGACCGGCCACAUUGGGACUGAGAUACGGCCCACACUCCUACGGGAGGCAGCAGUGGGGAAUAUUGCACAAUGGGCGGAAGCCUGAUGCAGCAACGCCGCGUGCGGGAUGACGGCCUUCGGGUUGUAAACCGCUUUCGCCUGUGACGAAGCGUGAGUGACGGUAAUGGGUAAAGAAGUAACCGGCUAACUACGUGCCAGCAUCCGCGGUGAUACUUAUGGUGCGACCGUUGUCCUGAUUUAUUGGGCGUAAAGGACUCAUAUGUGGCUUGAUCGCAUCGGAAGUGUAAUCUUGGGGCUUAACCCUGAGCGUGCCUUCAAUACGGAUUGACUUGAGGAACGUACGGAGAUAAUGGAAUUCCUGGUGGAGCGGUGGAAUGCCCAAAUAUCAUGAAGAACACCAAUGUCUAAAGCGGUUCUCUAGGCCUUUCCUGACCCUGAGGAACAAAACCUGCGGGAACGAACAGGCUUAGAUACCCUGGUAGUCCCCGCUGUAAAACGGUGGGGACUAGGUGUGGGGUUCAUUCCACGAGUUCCGCGCCGUAGCUAAACGCUUUAAGUACCCCGCCUAGGGAGUACGGCCGCAAGGCUAAAACUCGAAGGAAUUGACAGGGCCCCGCACAAGCGGCGGAGCAUGCGGAUUAAUUCGAGGCAAGGCGUAGAACCUUGCCUGGGUUGCACAUGGAUCGGGAGUGCUCAGAGAUGGGUGUGCCUCUUCUGGGGUCGGCUCACAGGUGGAGCAUGCCUGUCGUCAGCUCGAGUCGUGAGAUGUUGGGUUAAGUCCCGCAACGAGCGCAACCCUUGUUCACUGUUGCCAGCACGUUAUGGUGGGGACUCAGUGGAGCCCGCCGGGGUCAACUCGGAGGAAGGUGGGGAUGACGUCAAGUCCUCAUGCCCCCUAUGUCCAGGGCUUCACGCAUGCUACAAUGGCUGGUACAGACAGUGGCGAGCCUGUGAGGGUGAGCGAAUCUCGGAAAGCCGGUCUCAGUUCGGAUUGGGGUCUGCAACUCGACCUCAUGAAGUCGGAGUCGCUAGUAAUCGCACAUCCGCGGCGUUGCGGCGAAAAAGUUCCCGGGGCU
RNAcentral lists this ribosomal RNA (1351 nucleotides) under uncultured bacterium. Its description in RNAcentral is "bacterial SSU rRNA". It matches the Rfam family "Bacterial small subunit ribosomal RNA", at positions 28 to 1381 of the family's 1533-position model. The record is from RNAcentral.